This 4370-nucleotide unclassified non-coding RNA is filed under the name Hevea brasiliensis (rubber tree). Lineage: Eukaryota; Viridiplantae; Streptophyta; Magnoliopsida; Malpighiales; Euphorbiaceae. The record is from RNAcentral.
CCGUGCAAGAAUCAAUACUUCACAGAAUGAAUACUAAGUUUGUUAAUAUGUCAAGGCGUAUCUACAUUAAUCUGACUGUCAAUCAGAAAACAGUGGCAAAGUUGUAUUAUACAUAAGGUAUUUCCCAAUGCAAAGAAUAAUAUUCCCAUUUUCAAGAAUGUGCAGCUCUAUCUGCUGUUACAUUUUGUGUAAAAUUUUCCAGAAUAUAUUUCAUAAUGAUUGAAAGUAAGAGCCAAACAAACAAAAAGGAAAAUGUGGGACUUGCAAAUUUGUCAUCACCACCCCCAUUAAAUUCAACAAGAAACAAAUUAUGGCUCAAUCUCAAGCCUUGGUUCAAAGCAAAAACCAGUAAAAAGCUGAAGCGGGAACCUCUUUGUCACUGGGCACUUCUGUGACCAUUUCCACUGUUUCUGGUUCAUGUCAAAAACAAGAAGAGCUGGAGCCCCAUAGCUCUGGAUGUAUAAAAGAUCAUCUGUGCCACUGCUGGCAAAAACAUCAUCAAACUCCCCAAAUCCUUGAAAAAACUUGUGAGGCAUACGAGCAAUCUCUUGCCAUUCCUUACCAUUUAGGACCCAAAUCCCAAUCCCCUUAAUUAUGUCAGGCCGGUCUUGUUUACCAAUUCCUCCAACCAUUACCAGCUUCUCCUUCAAAUUCAUCAGACGUCCACAAGUAAGUGGACAAGGUACCGGAAUGAAACUCCUUAUCAAUAAACCAUGGGAAGAUCUACUCGAGAGAUUAUGUGUAAUUAGACCAUGGCGAUUCUCUGGUGUGCCACCCCCAGUUGAGUAAAUCAAAAUGUAUAAAACCCCAUCACAGAUCACACUUUCAUCGCCACUUCUCCAUCCUGUUAACACCUCAGACCAAGAAGCCACCCACAUCCUUGUUUCAGAAUUAUAAGUAUAAAUAGAAAGAUCCCAUUGGAAAAAAUUUCCUGGGACUUGCUUAGACUUCACGAUUGAGAUAGUAUAUCCAUGCAGCAUCCUGUUCACUGAAAUUGCAAGUGCACUGUAAUCAGCAAUUUUUAAACCUGGAGGCUCCUCAAGCUUCUUGCAGCAUUUGGUAAUAGGGUUGCAGACAUAUAAUUCACUUCUGCUAUCAUUGUCCAUGAAGCAAACUAAACCACGAGAUGAAGCAAUGAACCAACUGGAUGUCUCGAUGCAUGGGAGAUCAAUGCCAUACCACUUUCUGAGGAUUGGAUCGUAGGCGUAGCCAAUAGGUUCAUUGGAGCUUGUAAACAUAAAAUACCAGGGUUUUUGUGACAGGACAUGUGAGAAAUUCCAUAAAAACCUCCUUGAACUAACAAUCUCACGCCAUCUUUUACACACAGAACCUGCUCUAAAGAUGCUAGCAAUAGGAAGAAAUGCUAGAAUCCGUUCCAACAGAUCAUCAGGCAGGAUUAAAUCCAAAGAAACUGCAUUAAUUUCUUUACUGCCUUCAUCACUAAGCUCUGAGAAUGAAUCAAACUCACCAAUGCCUCUUGCUACAUCAUCAAAGCAAUCAUUGAUCCAUGAUGUUUCUCCCUCCAUGAUGAAGGAGAGUGAAGAACAGGCCUGGUAGAAAGAGGAAGACGAAGGAACAAAACUUAAAAUAAAAAUGAAUUUCUACCAGAAAGAUAAGACUAAAAACCAUCGCCUCUAAAGAAGCUAUAACACCAAAUAAAGAUAUAAUAAAAAAUAAGGAAAUCAAAUCACAUGGAAAACAAUUUUAAAUGUGCAAAUUGCAACUAGAAUUGGUGCGUGUGUAUUGUUGUACUAUUACCACCCAUUUAGACUGCAGUCAGAUCACAUCCUUAUCCAUAUAAUCACUGAAAAAGCACAACCCAGCAACCAUGACAUUGCAUUUAUAAACUAGCCCGCUGCCCACCUUCCAUGUGUAUCAGAUUGUGAUCUCCUAAUGCCAUGGAUAUAUCACUGAAAUAUCCAACUCAUAGAUCCCCACAGUAAAUGAGGAUAUUAGAACCAAACACAACCUAUUAACUAGGAGCAAUACCCUAAAAGCCAAAAGCCAGACGUGCCAGGUAAACACAUUAAACAAAACACUCAAGUUUAUGAUAUGGAAAAGAAUUCAAAACGAAGAAACACUAAUUUAACAAAUUUCUGAAAAAGUAAACAUACCCAGGGAGAAAUUGAAGCAACUAUGAAACAAAAAUGGGGAACCCAGAAAGAGAUGAAAAAACUAUGGCAACUUAACUGCCGAAUAUCAAAUUAAAAUUAUAUGCAUAACCAGAAGCCCAUAAAACCAGAAAUCGAUUCCCAGGAGAGCAUACAUAUCAAAUACUAGAAGAGAUCGAACAAGAAGACAUAGCAGUACGACAUCUAAAUUUGAAAUCUUAUUCAAGAAUAUUUCCCACAUUAAUAACUAAAUUGUUACUACAAGAAAGAUAACAUCAUUUAAGACGGAUAAUAGAAAAACGAUUAAAAAAAAUUGACAAGAAUUCUUACAAGAAGAUGAGUUUAUCGAUGCGAAACAAAUGAUUUUGUUUCGACCAAAAGAACGACCAUUCGCUUUCUCUAACACAUGGAACCCUAAAAACGAUUUUGUGAGUCAAAAUAAUAGAAAAAUAUUGUGUGGAGGGAAAGAGAUUAGGCCACGCCUAGUCAUCAAUCAAACAUCAAAGCCCCAUUAACUAAAAACCAUUACCAUCAAUAACUAAACCAACAUCAUAGACUUAAAAACACAAGUAGACCACUGAAAUGCACAAUAAAAACAAAAUCAAGAACAGAAAGAACAAGAUUUUCAUAAAAUUGAAACCCCAUACCUCGUUUUAAGCCACCUCCAGGGACAGUACCCAAGUGGGUGAGGCUAGAUUUAUAGAGGAAGAGAAAUGGCGAAAAGAGAAACAGAAUAUAAUGAUUAAAAAAAAAACUCCAAACUCGCUAUUAGAGGAAAGUAUUAAAGAACAUAGAGACCAAAACGAAAUGGGCUAUGGUGAAGAUAUUUUCUUCAAAUGGUAGAUAACUUUGACAUGGUCAGUCCAGAAUUGGCUGGUAAACAAAGCCUAAGCAACCCAUUUGAGAGAAAGAGAGUAUUUUGGUUUUAUUUGUUGAUACAACAAAAAACGACAAGCAGGGAAUGAAGCGAGAAGCCGGUUUUCCUAUCGAGGAGAUGUGUUGGUGCGAAAUGGGGAGAGAGAGAAAGAGAGAGAGAGAAGAUGGAUUAUACAGUUGGUUCAUGUCACGACUCGAAUUUUGGGCUGGACCGGCACUAGAACUUCAGUCAGCAUAAGGCCCCCGAAAGCCUAACUAUUUAUAGCUCAAUCAGAAAGCCCAUAAAUAUAGUCCAAUUUUAGAAAAUCAAACGAACAAAGUCCAGCUAUAAAUUAGACUAUCCAACGGGAGCCUCAAUUCACCCGACUUGUAAAUCAAUAAAACAAUAAUACGGGGAGCUCAGCUCACCCUCACAAUCCUCAAAUUACAUAUAUCAACAUUUGGGAGCUCAGCUCCCUCUAUCAUCAAUAAUAAACAUCUUAUACAUCCAUGUUAUCUCACAUAAUUAAUUUUACAACUCCAAAACUAAAUUAUUACAACCCUAAUAAAAAUACAACUAGUGGUCUAUGCAGAAUUCUAAAUUUAAAUAAAAGAUAAUAAAAGCAAAUCAAAAUAUUUUCUGUUUAAACUUGUAAGGAAAGAAAGCAGGUUCAUCACAAAUAAAGCCACCUAUUCAACUUAGAGAGUAAGAUAUUAAUUUUAAAUAUAAUUUCUAAAACGAUCUAAAUCUAAUGCAUUCUUAUGUGUGAAAUGCAACACAUUCACGUAGUUCAAACAAUUCAACCAAUAUUCGCACAAAAGAUUACUUGGAGCACGCACGCACCCAUAUGAUACAUCAAUAUACAUAUGAGAGUAGAUCCCUUAUAUAGAUUUCUUAAUCUAAUAUCUACCAGCAAGGUCAACUCAAACUGGACUUUCACUUAAUAAUCCAAGUGCGAAGGCUAACGAGAUUAACUCAAAGCCGUGCUCACCCCAACUUAUCAAUAUAUAAGAAUCGAGUUCCAGCGAGUCAAGCGUCAGCCGCAAAUAACCAUCCUACCUAUAUUCAUAUCCACACCAUACUCACGCCAACACACACACAUAAAGCUUCAAGUUAUCUUAAGGUAACAUCCACAAAUAAUUCAAUAACAUAUACAGCAAAGAAGCGUACCUAGCAUUUAACUAAUUAUAUACAUACAUAUAAGUGAAUGCAUGAGCAUGCAUUGAAUAUAAAUUAAUAAUAUUGAAAUUAUAAAUAAAAUCAAUAUCAAACUCACGAUGCAACCCACUGCUUAUUGGUUCUGCUUGGAAGGAGAAAAUUAUUGAUUUGAAUCACCUGGAUAGAAGACAAAGUUGCUGCCCCUGCUCCUAUUCAUCAUCUUCCUCCCUUUCUCUCUCUAAUUU